UCUUCAUGGACCCCUUUGAUGUUAGUAGGC
This 30-nucleotide non-coding RNA is filed under the name Rattus norvegicus (Norway rat). Lineage: Eukaryota; Metazoa; Chordata; Mammalia; Rodentia; Muridae. The record is from RNAcentral.